GCCUGGCUGGCUCAGUCGAAAGAGCAUGUGACUCUUGAUCUUGGGAUCAUGAGUUAAAACCCCAUGUUGGGUG
Molecule: transfer RNA, 73 nt
Filed under: Felis catus (domestic cat)
Lineage: Eukaryota; Metazoa; Chordata; Mammalia; Carnivora; Felidae
Also listed under: 1 other name
Rfam family: tRNA
About the family: Transfer RNA (tRNA) molecules are approximately 80 nucleotides in length.
Source: Rfam by way of RNAcentral